Molecule: ribosomal RNA, 1212 nt
Filed under: Pediococcus acidilactici
Lineage: Bacteria; Bacillati; Bacillota; Bacilli; Lactobacillales; Lactobacillaceae
Description: bacterial SSU rRNA
Rfam family: Bacterial small subunit ribosomal RNA
Source: RNAcentral
UGAGUGGCGGACGGGUGAGUAACACGUGGGUAACCUGGCCCAGAAGCAGGGGAUAACACCUGGGAAACAGAUGCUAAUACCGUAUAACAGAGAAAACCGCCUGGGUUUUCUUUUAAAAGAUGGGCUCUGCUAUCACUUCUGGAUGGACCCGCGGCGCAUUAGCUAGUUGGUGAGGUAACGGCUCACCAAGGCGAUGAUGCGUAGCCGACCUGAGAGGGUAAUCGGCCACAUUGGGGACUGAGACACGGCCCAGACUCCUACGGGAGGCAGCAGUAGGGAAUCUUCCACAAUGGGACGCAAGUCUGAUGGAGCAACGCCGCGUGAGUGAAGAAGGGUUUCGGCUCGUAAAGCUCUGUUGUUAAAGAAGAACGUGGGUGAGAGUAACUGUUCACCCAGUGACGGUAUUUAACCAGAAAGCCACGGCUAACUACGUGCCAGCAGCCGCGGUAAUACGUAGGUGGCAAGCGUUAUCCGGAUUUAUUGGGCGUAAAGCGAGCGCAGGCGGUCUUUUAAGUCUAAUGUGAAAGCCUUCGGCUCAACCGAAGAAGUGCAUUGGAAACUGGGAGACUUGAGUGCAGAAGAGACAGUGGAACUCCAUGUGUAGCGGUGAAAUGCGUAGAUAUAUGGAGAACACCAGUGGCGAAGGGGGCUGUCUGGUCUGUACUGACGCUGAGGCUCGAAAGCAUGGGUAGCGAACAGGAUUAGAUACCCUGGUAGUCCAUGCCGUAAACGAUGAUUACUAAGUGUUGGAGGGUUUCCGCCCUUCAGUGCUGCAGCUAACGCAUUAAGUAAUCCGCCUGGGGAGUACGACCGCAAGGUUGAAACUCAAAAGAAUUGACGGGGGCCCGCACAAGCGGUGGAGCAUGUGGUUUAAUUCGAAGCUACGCGAAGAACCUUACCAGGUCUUGACAUCUUCUGCCAACCUAAGAGAUUAGGCGUUCCCUUCGGGGACAGAAUGACAGGUGGUGCAUGGUUGUCGUCAGCUCGUGUCGUGAGAUGUUGGGUUAAGUCCCGCAACGAGCGCAACCCUUAUUACUAGUUGCCAGCAUUCAGUUGGGCACUCUAGUGAGACUGCCGGUGACAAACCGGAGGAAGGUGGGGACGACGUCAAAUCAUCAUGCCCCUUAUGACCUGGGCUACACACGUGCUACAAUGGAUGGUACAACGAGUUGCGAAACCGCGAGGUUUAGCUAAUCUCUUAAAACCAUUCUC